Long non-coding RNA from Orbicella faveolata, 1351 nucleotides. The record is from RefSeq and is a predicted model, not a curated record. Lineage: Eukaryota; Metazoa; Cnidaria; Anthozoa; Scleractinia; Merulinidae.
AAUUGCACUCUACUUUUGCUGUCUUUGAAGACUUAUGCGUUAAAGUAAGAAAAAGAUUAGUCGUCAUAAUCGACGUAUGUUGCGAAAUUUAAUGUACAUUGGAAAUUAAUCAAGAGUGACUUCUUGACUGCAAGACCUACGUGAUGCAAACUGGCUCGAGAUUCAAUUGACCGAAUUUGCAAUUUUCGCCACAGAAAUUAAUGGAAUGACUUUUUAAACAAGCGAAUUAGCAAAUCGUUGGCUCAUUAGUCAAAUUAACACCAAGCGGAGCAUGACACUAUCUCGACGACCUCUCUCCAAAUAGCCGCAUCUAUUUCAAGAUCAGCUUCUAACAAUAAGUUUCAUCGAUUUUUCUUCCAUUUAUGUUAUUUUGACGGGAAGCAUCUGGUCUUUUAUCUUUGCCCAAAGUAGCUACGUCAAAAGGCAAUUUUCUCUUCUUGCUCGGGGGGGGUGCGAAGGAAGCGGAAGUGAGGUCACCAAAGCGUCUCGAUUGGUGUUCUUGUCACGUGGCCACAGAAAAUAAUGGCGGACAUAGUAAUGGUCGCCUUCAUGAAUAACGGGAGAUGAAGAUGUCUUGGAGAAGAUCGUAUGAUUUUACUCCACGGGUAGUAGAAAAUGAAUUGGAUUCGUCAGACGACAGUGACUCCGAAGCUGGAACCGAAAACCUUAAAUUGUAUCACCGAAGAAAAUCUACGGUAACUGCUGUGAAAGCCAGGGGUUGUAUCAAGGAGGGAUUUUUGCUCAAACAAACCGGUUCAUUUCAGGUAGGUCCAGUAUUUUUCUCUGGAAAUUGACCUUGUCAACCUAAAAUAACACAGAUACAUUAUAAUACAACGAGGACAGUAUAAAUUUGUCCUUAAAAUUUUGUUUGCACUCAGUGAAGUAAGACAAUGAGCAAUUUAAAUAUAACUUUGCAGUGGUCAUAUCAAUUUUGUGACGAGAAUUCUUAUUUGCCCACUGACUAAAGAUGAAGCGCAACAUUAGUUGUUUGUCCAGAUCAAAAAAUCUUUUGUAAUCUUUGACAAAUUAGUAAGGAAAGUAUAAUCUAAAGAGUUUUAAUGCAUAAAAUUGUCAGCCCAUCCCUCUCGAUAAUGUUCUCCAGCCUUUGUUAAUAAUUAAUGGCAUUUUCCCAAUCAAAAUUUAAAUCCCAAUUUAAGGAUGAUAAUUUCAAAAAACAGUCUUUUGUGUAGCCAGCACAACAAUGGAAUAUUUUCUAAUUAAACUGAGAUGUCAAAGUGAAAAAAUGACAUCUUAUUAUGCUGCUUAUACCAUACUGCUGAAAGUUUUGCUCGCGAUCAGAUUGAGUGUAUGUUUGGAUUGGUACAAGCCAUUUUAGGUUAACUUGUCCUGU